UGGGGAAUAUUGCACAAUGGGCGCAAGCCUGAUGCAGCCAUGCCGCGUGUAUGAAGAAGGCCUUCGGGUUGUAAAGUACUUUCAGUCGGGAGGAAGGUGGUAAGGUUAAUAACCUUAUCAAUUGACGUUACCGACAGAAGAAGCACCGGCUAACUCCGUGCCAGCAGCCGCGGUAAUACGGAGGGUGCAAGCGUUAAUCGGAAUUACUGGGCGUAAAGCGCACGCAGGCGGUUGAUUGAGUCAGAUGUGAAAUCCCCGGGCUUAACCCGGGAAUUGCAUCUGAUACUGGUCAGCUAAAUUCUUGUAGAGAGGGGUAGAAUUCCAUGUGUAGCGGUGAAAUGCGUAGAGAUGUGGAGGAAUACCGGUGGCGAAGGCGGCCCCCUGGACAAAGACUGACGCUCAGGUGCGAAAGCGUGGGGAGCAAACAGG
This 429-nucleotide ribosomal RNA is filed under the name Chloroflexota bacterium. RNAcentral describes it as "Chloroflexi bacterium partial 16S ribosomal RNA". It matches the Rfam family "Bacterial small subunit ribosomal RNA", at positions 355 to 776 of the family's 1533-position model. The record is from RNAcentral. Lineage: Bacteria; Bacillati; Chloroflexota.